RNAcentral lists this ribosomal RNA (722 nucleotides) under uncultured archaeon. RNAcentral's name for it is "bacterial SSU rRNA". It matches the Rfam family "Archaeal small subunit ribosomal RNA", at positions 86 to 807 of the family's 1478-position model. The record is from RNAcentral.
CUGCUCAGUAACACGUGGAUAACCUGCCCUUAGGAUUGGCAUAACACCGGGAAACUGGUGAUAAUACCGAAUAGACCAUCUAUGCUGGAAUGCUUAAUGGUUCAAAGGCUUUUAGCUGCCUAAGGAUGGAUCUGCGGCCUAUCAAGUAGUAGUGGGUGUAAUGUACCUACUAGCCUACGACGGGUACGGGUUGUGAGAGCAAGAGCCCGGAGAUGGAUUCUGAGACAUGAAUCCAGGCCCUACGGGGCGCAGCAGGCGCGAAAACUUUACAAUGCGGGAAACCGCGAUAAGGGGACACUGAGUGCCAGCAUAUUAUGAUGGCUGUCCACAUGUAUAAAAACCAUGUGUUAGCAAGGGCCGGGCAAGACCGGUGCCAGCCGCCGCGGUAACACCGGCGGCCCGAGUGGUGAUCACUUUUAUUGGGUCUAAAGGGUCCGUAGCCGGUUUGAUCAGUCCUCCGGGAAAUCUGACAGCUCAACUGUUAGGCUUCCGGGGGAUACUGUCAGACUUGGGACCGGGAGAGGUAAGAGGUACUACAGGGGUAGGAGUGAAAUCUUGUAAUCCCUGUGGGACCACCAGUGGCGAAGGCGUCUUACCAGAACGGGUCCGACGGUGAGGGACGAAAGCUGGGGGCACGAACCGGAUUAGAUACCCGGGUAGUCCCAGCCGUAACGAUGCUCGCUAGGUGUCAGGGACGGUGCGACCGUUUCUGGUGCCGCAGG